RNAcentral lists this ribosomal RNA (497 nucleotides) under uncultured bacterium. Its description in RNAcentral is "partial 16S ribosomal RNA". It matches the Rfam family "Bacterial small subunit ribosomal RNA", at positions 28 to 507 of the family's 1533-position model. The record is from RNAcentral.
GAUGAACGCUGGCGGCGUGCCUAAUACAUGCAAGUCGAGCGAACGGACGAGAAGCUUGCUUCUCUGAUGUUAGCGGCGGACGGGUGAGUAACACGUGGAUAACCUACCUAUAAGACUGGGAUAACCUCGGGAAACCGGAGCUAAUACCGGAUAAUAUUUUGAACCGCAUGGUUCAAAAGUGAAAGACGGUCUUGCUGUCACUUAUAGAUGGAUCCGCGCUGCAUUAGCUAGUUGGUAAGGUAACGGCUUACCAAGGCAACGAUGCAUAGCCGACCUGAGAGGGUGAUCGGCCACACUGGAACUGAGGCACGGUCCAGACUCCUACGGGAGGCAGCAGUAGGGAAUCUUCCGCAAUGGGCGAAAGCCUGACGGAGCAACGCCGCGUGAGUGAUGAAGGUCUUCGGAUCGUAAAACUCUGUUAUUAGGGAAGAACAUAUGUGUAAGUAACUGUGCACAUCUUGACGGUACCUAAUCAGAAAGCCACGGCUAACUACGUG